CCUACGGGAGGCAGCAGUGGGGAAUCUUGCGCAAUGGGCGAAAGCCUGACGCAGCAACGCCGCGUGCGGGAAGAAGGCUUUAGGGUUGUAAACCGCUUUCAGCAGGGAAGAAAAUGACGGUACCUGCAGAAGAAGGUGCGGCCAACUACGUGCCAGCAGCCGCGGUGACACGUAGGCACCAAGCGUUGUCCGGAUUUAUUGGGCGUAAAGAGCUCGUAGGCGGUUCAGUAAGUCGGGUGUGAAAACUCUGGGCUUAACCCAGAGCCGCCACCCGAUACUGCUGUGACUUGAGUCCGGUAGGGGAGCGGGGAAUUCCUGGUGUAGCGGUGAAAUGCGCAGAUAUCAGGAGGAACACCGGUGGCGAAGGCGCCGCUCUGGGCCGAGACUGACGCUGAGGAGCGAAAGCAUGGGUAGCAAACAGGAUUA
This 426-nucleotide ribosomal RNA is filed under the name uncultured bacterium. RNAcentral describes it as "bacterial SSU rRNA". It matches the Rfam family "Bacterial small subunit ribosomal RNA", at positions 338 to 780 of the family's 1533-position model. The record is from RNAcentral.